This 67-nucleotide microRNA precursor is filed under the name Bombyx mori (domestic silkworm). RNAcentral describes it as "mir-2774 microRNA precursor family". It matches the Rfam family "mir-2774 microRNA precursor family". Lineage: Eukaryota; Metazoa; Arthropoda; Insecta; Lepidoptera; Bombycidae. The record is from Rfam by way of RNAcentral.
ACAACAUUCGGAGCGUCGGUCUACCAAGCGAUAUCACUCGUUCGGUGGAAGAUUUUUCCUUUGUCGC